GCUUGUAUAGUUCAAUUGGUAGAACAGUGGUUUUGUAAGCCUCAGACGUGGGUUCAAGUCCUACUACAAGCAUAGCUUACU
Molecule: transfer RNA, 81 nt
Filed under: Listeria phage A511
Lineage: Duplodnaviria; Heunggongvirae; Uroviricota; Caudoviricetes; Herelleviridae
Description: tRNA-Thr
Rfam family: tRNA (bases 1-72)
About the family: Transfer RNA (tRNA) molecules are approximately 80 nucleotides in length.
Source: RNAcentral